Long non-coding RNA from Eleginops maclovinus (Patagonian blennie), 1215 nucleotides. RefSeq lists it as uncharacterized. Lineage: Eukaryota; Metazoa; Chordata; Actinopteri; Perciformes; Eleginopidae. The transcript is spliced from 3 exons. The record is from RefSeq and is a predicted model, not a curated record.
GAACUCAUCGCACACAAGGAUGUGAGCAAGCUGCUAGGGCUCACAGCGGAGCCACCUGGAGAAGCACUUUCGAGAUGUCUUUGAAACGCCCACCGACACCUGUUUUAGAGCCAUGCUCCUGGAUCACGGUUUAAGAUCAUUCCCACGUUUCAGUUUUUUGGCCUUGGAACCAAUGGCCGCCUGUCCAAGUCCAAAUCGGCCAAGUACAGAGUGUGGACGGGUAGCUGGAUGGAUGCCAGUUUGCUUCCUUGGCACUGCAGAGGCCAACCGAGGACAUUUGGCAGGAUGGUGGUAGGCCUACAGACUAAAUUUAGACUGGAGGAUGAAGACCUUGGUGGGCCCAAGCUGAGCAAGGGGAACCAGAGUUUGCAGCAGCUCUGCAUGGCACAGACCAUAACAUCAACUGGACAAUAGGAGAAAGCAAUGAAUGGAAACGAAGAACAGGUGUUGGUCUGAUCCCGAAGACAGGUAGGACUCUGCUAGCUGAAUGGGAGGCCAGCCACUCAGUGCUUAUCAGUCCCUUCUUGCAGCCAUGCUUAGAGCAACCCACUUGUACUUCCUGGUAGGGUCUCUCUUCCGGUCCCUUACAUACAGAGAACUACAAUUCAUGAUAGUUUAUGAUAAGUCCAUUUUAUGGUUAAAUUGUUCUGUCAAUGCUAAGUCAGUGAGAUUUAAUAAACAUAAAUCUGGGUACAAAAACAGGUAUACAACGAAAUGGAGGGAGCAGGCUAUGGUCAAGUGUAAUAGCAUCUACCUUCUAAGGCUGUAACAAUCUGUGGAAGCUUUAAAGCUUUGCGUAUAUCAUUUUUAUUGGAAUUUUAUAUCAAUCCAGGUCCCAGUUCACCUCCUUGAGCAAGGCACCGGACACCUCCAAUGCCCUCUCCCCAUUGCUCCCCGGGCGCUGCACAAUAGCUGCCCACUGCUCAUAGUAUUAGGAUGGGUUAAAUGCAGAGGACCAAUUUCACUGUGUGUGCUCUGCUGUGUGCAUGUAUGUGACAAUAAAGAGGGUUUCAUCCUCCGAUUCUACCAACAUAACGAAAAUAAACAGCAUGGCAGUGCCGAACCAUGUCUAUCACAACUGGACCUCGGUUGAAAAUUUGGUAGGUCUAGUCAGAUUAAUGUCACUUUGACAGUCACAAAAUUACUGGUCCUCUGCUUGCUACAUGGUUACACACCAUGGAUUACCACAAUUGUGUUCAGGUCAAGAUUGUUGGG